Molecule: long non-coding RNA, 1661 nt
Organism: Carassius gibelio (silver crucian carp)
Lineage: Eukaryota; Metazoa; Chordata; Actinopteri; Cypriniformes; Cyprinidae
Exons: 3
Source: RefSeq, a predicted model, not a curated record
UCUGGAAGGAAUAGUUCACCCAAAAAAUUAAAAUGUAUGCUAUCCAAGGUUGUUUCUUCAUCACUACAGAAAUUUAGCAGUAGAUCACUUGUUUACCAAUGGAUCCUCUGCAGUGAAUGGGUGCCGUCAGAAUGAGAGUCCAAACAGCUGAUUAAAACAUCCACAAGUAAUCAAUUUGAUUCUAGUCUGCAGUAAAAAGCGGUGUGUUUGUGAUAAAUCCAUCGAGACAUUUUUAAACUGCUUCUUCUGGCUAAAAUAUGAGUCCUCUAUUUAUAAUAUUGCGUUCUCCAGUAAAAAAAAAAAAUGUCUCGUCUUAAUCAAGAGAGAAAUAUUCAAAGAUCAGGCACCAUUUAAAAGAAAGAAAAGAAAAGAAAAAAACAUUCCAAAGCAGGUGUUGGCAGAUGUUGAUGUGAUUAUGGAUUUUGGCCAGACGUGACAGUUAAAAUUGAAAAUACCUUAAUGAUAAAUUUGUUUCUUAAAGUACACAGCUUCUUAUUUCAUUAGGUGUCAGUUGAUGGACUGGAGUCAUGUGGAUUACUUGUGAAUUUGGACUUUCAUUCUGAUGGCACCCAUUCCCUGCAGAGGAUCCACUGGUGAGCAAGUAAUGUACUGUAAUGCUACAUUUCUCCAAAUCUAGCGAAACAAACUCAUCUACAUCUUGGAUUGCCUGAAAGUAAGUAAUUUUAAGCACAUUUUCAUUUUUGGUUUAGACAUUUCUUUACAGAAAUCAAUGUGUGGGUGAUUCAAUAAGUACUUUUUAAUAUCAAAUUACAGAUAUGUGGAAUAUUUAUGAAACAAUAACUGAAUGUUUUGGACAGUUCAUUUCUUACUACAAAUAAAAAGUUAAAUAAAAAAUAAAAUAUAAACAUUGAAUGUUUUGUACAGUGUAUCUAUUCCAGUUCUUUACUACAAAAAAAAGGAAAUAAAUAAAUGAAAAAAAAAAAUGUUUGGCAAGAGCCCGUUAAAUAGCUCAUAGUUACAUAAUCACCUGCAUAUAAUUUGUGGUCCAGAAAGUUGUUUUAGAAUCACUAUUGGCAGAGAUCUGUGUUGUGCAGGCAGCUCAGACGGUGCUGGAGAAGUAAAGAAGCAGAAUGCUAUGAAACACACCACUCAGACACAGAGGCAGCAUUUAGAGGACUUGAAGCUCCUCAUAUUGAAGCGACAGAACAGUAGUCCUUUGCCUGACACACAGAAAGGAGAGGAGGAAAAGAAACUGCGAAUUCUUGAAAACAGUUUGGAGAAAUCACAGCUGAAAUACCAUGAAGCAGUGCACAUAACGUGAGGAUACCGCAAGCUGAAGGAGCACCUACAGGCUGAGCUGCAGCUUCAGGAGGAGCAGGUGUACAGAGAGUGCAGAGAAAGAGAGAAGAUCCUCUCCCGCUACAAAAAGCAGGCGGAGGAGAGGAUGAAGAGAAGAGUGAGCAUCAUCUGCUGCAAUUAUAUCUACAGCAACUAUAAGACAGCUAGCAAUGCAAUACUCUAAUUGCAUAAAAUGUGUUACACUCAAUGCACUUCAUGUUGCUAAGCUCACAAGCCAAAUAUUGGCUAAAAUAGGCUUUUUAAUACUUAUAUCUCUUUUUCAAUAUUUAUUGUUGCCUCUGUUUGGCCAAAAGUAAGUAUCUUAGAUCGUUUUUGUCAAGUUUAACCAUUUGUCUAUCUUC